AAAGUCGUAACAAGGUCUCCGUUGGUGAACCAGCGGAGGGAUCAUUACAGGACUUCGCAAGAAUCCCGUACAACCACCGUGAACCUACCUCUUCGUUGCCUCGGCGGGCCUCCGGACGGAGCCCGCCGGCGGCCCACUACUCUGCACUACUAUGUCGGCAUCUCAGAAGACACACAAACGAAUCAAAACUUUCAACAACGGAUCUCUUGGUUCUG
This 215-nucleotide unclassified non-coding RNA is filed under the name Ascomycota sp. Its description in RNAcentral is "partial contains small subunit ribosomal RNA, internal transcribed spacer 1, and 5.8S ribosomal RNA". The stretch from base 1 to 47 matches the Rfam family "Eukaryotic small subunit ribosomal RNA", at positions 1785 to 1831 of the family's 1831-position model. The record is from RNAcentral. Lineage: Eukaryota; Fungi; Ascomycota.